AUAAUAUAAUAUGAAUUGGAUUUAAUUGUCCACAUAGCUGGCACUUUAAAAUAAUAAUUUUAGUAUGACUAGUGGCAGACUUCAUCAAAUAUUCCCUAAUAUUUAUGUUUUUUUGAAUACCUUAAAGCAGAAAUGAUAUCAAAGUAGCUUUUCCUUAAGAAACACAAUAUGCUCAAGAAACUUGACCACACUUUAAAAAGACGAUUUUCCAAUCAAACCCACAUAAUAUGACUUAAAGAAGUAAGGCCCUCUUUUUCUAAUUGAGUAGCAGCUAUAAGUAUAGGUUCCUAUUUACAAAAAAACAAAAAGUGGAAACAUUUUGAAUCUUUUCCAAUGACUUAUAGCAAAGGGAAGCUUAGAGAAUUGCCCUACAAAUCUUAGGAGACUAGUGAUGGAAAAGAAAUUUUGAAGAUUUUGACAAGAACCCAUUACCAGAUAUAAUUUUUUGCUUUGUUCCUUUCUCAUUCUACAAAUUCAUCCAUGUUUCACUUUCUUUCAUUCCAUGGUUUUAUUCUCUUCAUCAAAUAAAGGCUAAAAUGAUUGUAGCGUUUGAGUUGGUCCUACAAACUUUUUGACACAAACAACACAAAUCCAAUCACAAUUAAUGGAAUAUGGUGCUACUUUUAUGAAGGUCACAAGGUCAAGGUAAAGAAAGGAUGUAGGCUCCCACAAAAUAGGAACACUUUGCCCCACUUUUUAGUUUUCUUUCUUAUUGGAAAUUGAAAUUAUGAUUUAUGGUAUGCCAUGGGGCAGCUAGCUGGCCCUGUGAAUACAGCUUAUGUUAAAUUCUUUUAUUGAUAACCUAUAGUGAGUGAAUCUAAACUGUGUGUUUUGCUCUAAUAUAAUUCCCAUUAGUUAAAAGAAAACACUAUCUUUGACUGAAUAGCACCGUUAUAUUAGCUUUAAGGUUAAAUAAUUGAAUUACAUGCUUUUCCUGUUAAAGCUUAAGUGUCUCAAAAGCCAAACAUUUUGGGGUGAGUGUGCAAAUAAUAAAAGCUAGAGUCAAGUUGGAUUGUCUUAUCAAUCCUUCAUUGCUUUUAUGUUGAUAUUAAACCCAACAAGGCUAUGCUGGCCCAACCUGUUAAUCAGUCGUCCAGUUAAUAGUUUUAUACUCAUUUAGUAGAUUGAGACAUAAGCAAACAGCAAAAAAAAAAAGAAAAAAAAAAGAGAGAAUUAUUAACCCUAACCGGCUAACCCCAAUGGAGAUAUUGAAACAAUAAUUAUGAUUUAAAACAAAUAACUAAAGGUAGGUGUAAAUAUUGCCCCCAAGAGUUUGGCAGAAUAGUUUUCAAGCAAUUUUCUUUAAAAUGAAGAUGCCAUUAACAAACAAAAAAAUACAAUUUUUAAUGUAUUGAAACAUUUUUUUUUUUAAUUUAGUGUUUAAGUGAAGAUGUGCUCACUCAUAUAUAUAAUUUCGAAAUCUAAGAAUAGUUUGAUAUGAGUUGGUUUUGAGGCGAAGUGUCAGGUAGACUUACCUAACUUGAAAGAUUGACAUAGUGUAAUGAUUAAACAUUAUAAAUAGGCUUAUUUAAUU
Molecule: long non-coding RNA, 1534 nt
Filed under: Citrus x clementina
Lineage: Eukaryota; Viridiplantae; Streptophyta; Magnoliopsida; Sapindales; Rutaceae
Description: Citrus clementina (C. clementina) long non-coding RNA (CCLE_LNC002838)
Source: RNAcentral